RNAcentral lists this non-coding RNA (236 nucleotides) under Clostridium amylolyticum. RNAcentral's name for it is "T-box sequence". It matches the Rfam family "T-box leader". From Rfam's summary of the family: Uncharged tRNA acts as the effector for transcription antitermination of genes in the T-box leader family. T-boxes are found upstream of many aminoacyl-tRNA synthetase genes and some amino acid biosynthetic genes usually in Gram-positive bacteria. The record is from RNAcentral. Lineage: Bacteria; Bacillati; Bacillota; Clostridia; Eubacteriales; Clostridiaceae.
UUAACUACUAUGAUGAGAAGAGUAGAUAUAAGAAGUAGUUUCAGCGAGUGAAUGAUGGUGCAAGGUUCACACGAAGCUUAUAUUGAAGAACAUCUCUGAGUUUCUAACCGAAAUCCUUGUGGAAAGUAGACUUAGACGGCAUUGGUACCGUUAUUACCAAGCAGCAUGUUAGUGCUGAUAAAGUGGUCAUUUUUGACAAGUAGGGUGGUACCGCGAGCAAUGCCUUCGUCCCUUUU